ACACCGAUGGUGAAGCGGUUAUCAUGCUUGCCUUCCAUUAAUAUCAGCAAGCGGCAGGGGUUCGACUCCCCUUCGGUGUA
Molecule: non-coding RNA, 80 nt
Organism: Mucidula mucida
Lineage: Eukaryota; Fungi; Basidiomycota; Agaricomycetes; Agaricales; Physalacriaceae
Source: the annotation of a GenBank genome assembly